Molecule: unclassified non-coding RNA, 1325 nt
Filed under: Hevea brasiliensis (rubber tree)
Lineage: Eukaryota; Viridiplantae; Streptophyta; Magnoliopsida; Malpighiales; Euphorbiaceae
Source: RNAcentral
AAAAAUUUCAGAAUAUGGCACAUUAUCAUCUUAUUCUUGUAACUAGAAAUGUAGCAUUAAUCCAACGUGUUACCAUAAACGACAAAUCAGAUCAUGUGGGAAACUUGUCUCUUUUUUCUUUUGGAAGAAACUUGUCUUUUCUUCAAAGAAUUAUUCUUGCACAAUCUUAUGAUGAAGUCGCAUCUGAGCAGCUUCUCCUAGUAAUGUCAUGAACAAACAACUGAAUAUUCCGAUCCGACGCGCCACCACUGGCCACCGCUUCCCUCGCUGCCCGUUUCAAUUCCUUUGCGUUAGCUUUAAGCUCCUCAGAUUUUGUUCCGUCCAUAAUCUCCCCAAUACAUCUUUCAAUUUCAUCGUUGCUAAUGGUUCCAUCUUGAUUUGCCCUCAGCCUUAGACCUAUUCGGAAAACAUCAACAAUAAGCUUUGCAUUUGUUGGCUGAUCUGUCCAUUGAGGGUAUGCGAUCACCGGCACGCCUGCAACUAUAGUUUCUAGGAUAGAAUUCCAUCCACAGUGUGUUAUAAAACAAGCAAUUGCAGGGUGGGUUAAGACCUUGGUUUGUGGAGACCAGGACACAAUAAGCCCCUGAUCUUUUGUCUCCUCCAAGAACCCUAACGGUAGCUGUCCCUCCCCAUCUGGUAGUGGAAAGUCUGGUUGCUUAGCCACCCAUAAAAAUGGAUGGUUAGUGUUCUUUAGGGCUUUUGCUAUGCUCUCCAUUUGUUUGGCUGACAAAACAGUGAUACUUCCAAAAGAUAUAUAUAUAACUGAGGAAGGUGCUUGCUUUUUUAACCAUUCAAGGCAAGUAUCUUCUGCUUUCCACAUCUCAACACCGAUAUCCUGGUCUUCAUUUUCACCGAGUAGUGAUGGAGGGACAAGAGGACCGAUGGGACGAAUUGGGAAGUGCUCAGUCAUGGACUCAAUAACAUCUUUCUCAAGCUCAAAGAAAGAGCUUCCCAGAACCCAUGUAUACCUGUUCAAGUUCAAGAACAUUUCAGCGAACAAUUUAGGGAAGCUACCAAACGGAUUUGAAGGAAGAACAAAAGAAGGUAAGUCUUCUGUGAGCAAUAAUGGCAGGCCUGGCAACUCAACACUCAUUUCAGGGUUUGUUAAGGUAGGGAACGAGUUUAGGCUAUGGUAGAAACGAUAAUAAAUGGCAUAAAGCGAACAUGGUUGUAUCCAGAGCAUUGCACAAGGGAUUCCAAGCUCAGUAGCAACAUCAAUUACCCAAGGAACAAAGGGAUUGUUUAUGAUACAAGCGAGUUUCUUGUGACCAUUGUCGGGGUAAUAUUCUUUGAUAAGGUUGGAGAGGUUAAUGGGUCCAAAUUUG